CCUACGGGAGUCAGCAGUGGGGAAUAUUGGGCAAUGUGCGCAAGCCUGACCCAGCAACGCCGCGUGAAGGAAGAAGGCUUUCGGGUUGUAACCUUCUUUUGUCAGGGACUCGUAGAAGACGGUACCUGACGAAUAAGCCACGGCUAACUACGUGCCAGCAGCCGCGGUAAUACGUAGGUGGCAAGCGUUGUCCGGAUGUACUGGUUGUAAAGGGCGUGUAGCCGGGUUGACAAGUCAGAUGGGAAAUCCUGCGGCUUAACCGCAGAACUGCAUUUGAAACUGUUGAUCUUGAGUACUGGAGAGGCAGACGGAAUUCCUAGUGUAGCGGUGAAAUGCGUAGAUAUGAGGAGGAACACCAGUGGCGAAGGCGGUCUGCUGGACAGCAACUGACGGUGAGGCGCGAAAGCGUGGGGAGCAAACAGGAUUAGAUACCCGGGUAGUC
Molecule: ribosomal RNA, 442 nt
Filed under: uncultured bacterium
Lineage: Bacteria
Description: partial 16S ribosomal RNA
Rfam family: Bacterial small subunit ribosomal RNA
Source: RNAcentral